GAUGAACGCUGGCUACAGGCUUAACACAUGCAAGUCGAGGGGAAACGACGGGGAAGCUUGCUUCCCCGGGCGUCGACCGGCGCACGGGUGAGUAACGCGUAUCCAACCUGCCUCUGACUGAGGGAUAACCCGUCGAAAGUCGGCCUAAUACCUCAUGGUAUCGUCUGCGGGCAUCCAACGACGAUUAAAGAUUUCAUCGGUCAGGGAUGGGGAUGCGUCUGAUUAGCUUGGUGGCGGGGUAACGGCCCACCAAGGCUACGAUCAGGAGGGGUUCGGAGAGGAAGGUCCCCCACAAUGGAACCGAGACACGGUCCAAACUCCUACGGGAGGCAGGAGUAAGGAAGAUUGGGCAAUGGGCGAGGGCCUGAACCAGCCAAGUAGCGUGCAGGAAGACGGGCCUAUGGGUUGUAAACUGCUUUUAUGCGGGGGUAAAGUGAGGGACGUGUCCCUCAUUGCAGGUACCGCAUGAAUAAGGACCGGCUAAUUCCGUG
Molecule: ribosomal RNA, 491 nt
Filed under: uncultured bacterium
Lineage: Bacteria
Description: partial 16S ribosomal RNA
Rfam family: Bacterial small subunit ribosomal RNA
Source: RNAcentral